Molecule: small nucleolar RNA, 253 nt
Filed under: Blumeria hordei DH14
Lineage: Eukaryota; Fungi; Ascomycota; Leotiomycetes; Helotiales; Erysiphaceae
Description: fungal small nucleolar RNA U3
Rfam family: Fungal small nucleolar RNA U3
About the family: Small nucleolar RNAs (snoRNAs) are involved in the processing and modification of rRNA in the nucleolus. There are two main classes of snoRNAs: the box C/D class, and the box H/ACA class. U3 snoRNA is a member of the box C/D class.
Source: RNAcentral
GUAAUUAGUUCAUAGAAUCAUUUCUAUAGUAAACGUCUUCUUCUGAGCUUCUCAAAAAAGCCACAGAACUCCAAUCUCGACGAUGAUUUGAACCUCGAUAGCUCAAAGUGAAACCGUGGCCCUCGAACUGUCUGCGAAGACGGCGGUGCAGGUGAAAGCCGGCACUGUAAAGAGGGUGGUGAUGAUCUUAGCUCUUUGAGAUGAUGCUUUGAGUGUUGUUCCAAAGGCGGCUAUCGAUGGAAGUCUGAGGGAC